Quercus lobata is the source of this 199-nucleotide long non-coding RNA. RefSeq lists it as uncharacterized. Lineage: Eukaryota; Viridiplantae; Streptophyta; Magnoliopsida; Fagales; Fagaceae. The record is from RefSeq and is a predicted model, not a curated record. The transcript is spliced from 2 exons.
AUUUUGUACGAACAAUCUGAAAGACAGGUACAUGGGGUGAGUGCAAAUGUGUGCUGGAGAAGAACAGCUCAUCUAGGUACCAAGAGAAGGGGUUAGUGCAAAACUGCAAAUACCUCCAAAUUCCUGCCCUGCAUAAUCAACUUCACUGAAGAGAGUGGACCAUCCCAAGACAUUCGGACAGAGAGUGAAGCAUUAUUGC